This 343-nucleotide unclassified non-coding RNA is filed under the name soil metagenome. Its description in RNAcentral is "partial contains 5.8S ribosomal RNA, internal transcribed spacer 2, and large subunit ribosomal RNA". The stretch from base 1 to 120 matches the Rfam family "5.8S ribosomal RNA", at positions 35 to 154 of the family's 154-position model. The record is from RNAcentral.
GAUGAAGAACGCAGCGAAAUGCGAUAAGUAAUGUGAAUUACAGAAUUCAGUGAAUCAUCGAAUCUUUGAACGCACAUUGCGCCCGCUAGUAUUCUGGCGGGCAUGCCUGUCCGAGCGUCAUUUCAACCCUCAAGCCCCCGGGCUUGGUGUUGGGGAUCGGCGAGCCUCCGCGCCCGCCGUCCCCUAAAUCUAGUGGCGGUCUCGCUGUAGCUUCCUCUGCGUAGUAGCACACCUCGCACUGGGAAACAGCGCGGCCACGCCGUUAAACCCCCAACUUCUGAACGUUUGACCUCGGAUCAGGUAGGAAUACCCGCUGAACUUAAGCAUAUCAAUAAGCGGAGGA